RNA transcript from Dromiciops gliroides (monito del monte), 3484 nucleotides. It is a transcript of the gene named ganglioside induced differentiation associated protein 2, with no coding region annotated. The transcript is spliced from 15 exons. The record is from RefSeq and is a predicted model, not a curated record. Lineage: Eukaryota; Metazoa; Chordata; Mammalia; Microbiotheria; Microbiotheriidae.
GGUCCGCGCGGCACAGAGCGGAAGUUGGUGUCUCGGGACUCUCGCCUCUAGUCACUGUCUGUUGUUGGGGCUCUGUCCCUUUUUGCUGCUCUUGGGCGAGCGGGGUCUGGGGAUGCGGCGCAGCCGCACGCGUUCCGGAGCCUGACCCAGACCUAGCCCGUAGCCCCACUCCCACUGUCCGAAUGGAGAAGCGGAAACGCGCUUAUAGGAGUUCCGUUAAAAACUAAAUUGCUAAGAAGUUAGAGUCAAGUUUCAUUCCAUGGAUCCUUUGGGUGCUCCUUCCCAGUUUGUGGAUAUUGAUACUCUGCCCAGCUGGUUUGAAUGGUAUGAAGCAGAUGAAGUAAAUUCUUCAGAAACUCUAACUGAAAAAGUCCAGGAUGAAGUCAUUAGAUCACCUUUUCCCUUCAGUAAAAAGCUCAGUGGAAAAGUGAUUCUUUGGAAAGGAGAUGUAGCUUUACUAAACUGUACAGCUAUAGUCAAUACCAGCAAUGAAACUCUCACUGAUAAGAAUCCAGUAUCAGAAAGCAUCUUUAUGCUUGCAGGGCCUGAUUUGAAAGAAGAACUCCAGAAACUCAAAGGUUGCCGAACUGGGGAAGCAAAGUUUACAAAAGGAUUCAAUCUGGCUGCCCGUUUCAUCAUUCACACUGUGGGACCCAAAUACAAGAGCCGCUAUCGCACAGCUGCUGAAAGCUCCCUGUAUAGCUGCUACAGAAAUGUACUCCAAUUGGCAACGGAGCAGGCAAUGUCCUCUAUAGGAUUCUGUGUCAUCAAUUCUGCAAAAAGAGGAUAUCCUUUAGAGGAUGCUACCCAUAUAGCACUCCGCACAGUGAGAAGAUUCCUAGAGAUUCAUGGGGAGACCAUUGAAAAAGUAGUAUUUGCUGUCUCUGAGCUUGAAGAGGCCACCUAUAGAAAGCUACUGCCUUUAUAUUUUCCGAGAUCAUUAAAGGAGGAAAGCCAGUCUUUGCCAUAUCUUCCUGCAGAUAUUGGAAAUGCAGAAGGGGAACCAGUAGUACCAGAACGACAGAUCAGGAUUAGUGAAAAGCCAGGUGCUCUGGAUGACAACCUCGAAGAGGAAGAUGAGGGCUUGGGAGCUGAUCUCUCCUUCAUUGGGUCUCACGCUUUUGCUCGAAUGGAGGGAGAUGUUGAUAAGCAGAGACGACUGAUCCUUCAGGGACAGCUCUCAGAGGCAGCUCUGCAGAAACAGCAUCAAAGAAAUUAUAAUCGCUGGCUGUGUCAAGCAAGAGCUGAGGAUCUAUCUGAUAUUGCUUCUUUAAAAGCAUUGUACCAAACAGGUGUAGAUAAUUGUGGUCGCACAGUCAUGGUGGUGGUUGGAAGAAACAUUCCUGUAACAUUAAUAGACAUGGACAAGGCUCUGUUAUAUUUUAUCCAUGUAAUGGAUCACAUUGCUGUAAAAGAAUAUGUCUUAGUAUACUUUCACACACUUACUAGCGAGUACAAUCACUUGGACUCUGACUUUCUGAAGAAACUCUAUGAUGUUGUUGAUAUCAAAUACAAGAGGAACUUGAAAGCAGUUUAUUUUGUCCAUCCAACAUUUCGGUCAAAGGUAUCAACAUGGUUUUUCACCACCUUUUCUGUCUCAGGACUAAAGGACAAGAUCCACCAUGUGGACAGCCUCCACCAGCUAUUUGCUGCCAUAUCUCCAGAACAGAUUGAUUUUCCACCUUUUGUUCUUGAAUAUGAUGCCAGGGAAAACGGGCCUUACUAUGCGUCUUAUCCCCCAUCACCAGAUCUAUGACCUUCCAUCUUGUAGAGUACUGCUGGUUUCCAAGGAUGACUCCCUCUUCCUGGCCUGCUGCCUGUUGAAAUGAAAUUCAUUUGUGCUGUACAGAAUUCAGAGAAGGUCUUUUGUCCCCACCUCUCUGAUAUUUUUUUAUUGACACUAUAUUUUCAGGCACAUAAACAAUCUGCAAAUGUUAGGUCACUGUGCACUCUGUACCACUGUUUUAAAUUUGUAUAUGCAUAUCUAGUGGAAAUACUGAUAUCUGAGGAUAAAAUGAAGGAGAGGCUUUGUGUCUCCAUCCGCUGUUGGAGAGCAGCUUUCAGAUGUCUUGAAUUUCCUACAAAGACAUCAGACUAUUGGACAGGCUGUCAGUCUUGAUCAUAUUGUCACCAUCAUAUUGAAAGCUUCCUAGAGUACUAAACCUAAACUAUUUGUAACAAUGUACAGAACUGUUCAGACUAUGCUCAUCAGAUUAGGAAAUUUACUUCCAAUCCUUUUGUGUUGUUUACUUCUGACAUAUACAGGUACUUUACCUACAACAGAGGAGAGUGGUGUGAAACUGAGAAAGUUGCAAAUGAUUUGACUAAAGAUCUUUGAAAAGUUUAGCAGGAUAUGGGCUGUGUAGACUUGAGUCCUGAAAGUGCCAGAAAAACAUUUCCAAGGUUGGCUGUUGCAAAAAGAGAAACAAUUUGUGGAAGGGCCGGAUUGGGGAAACAUUAUAGACAUGUUUUUGCUAAUGCAAUUCACGUAGCAAACAUAACUACUGAAUACAAUAUUCUGUUGACUAUUGAAAGCUAAAUACAUUAUGUAAACACACAAGUCACACUUUUCUUUGUAAUGAUUUUUGUUAGGAUAAGCACACAGUCAGCACAAACUGAGCCAGGACUUUCAGACCAGAUCUUACUGAUUAAAAUAAAUAAUUUUGUAAAAUCUUGAACACAUGUAAAUCAUUUUAAUUACUGCUGAGCAAUAGAAACCCAAGGGCUUUAUGUAGCUGGCAUGACUUAAAAAUGUUUAUUCAAAAUUCAGAAAGCCUUUCCCAGUGUUUCACAUUUAAAGAUAUGUUUUUAAAUAUGCUUUUCUUGAUUUGAGAAUUUUGUUUUCUUUUGUUUUAAAGUGAGUAUGUGUAUGCAUUUGAAGAAUAUUGAAAUUUGGAGAGCCAAGAAAGAAAUGGUAAAGUUCAUUUAGUGAACAAGAUUGUAAACCAUUUUUCUUUUUCUAUGCUACCAUCCUAAUCAAUAAAGCCUGACACAUGCAGUAAAUAGUAUGAUUAAAUUAUGUAAGAAGUUUCUUACAAUAUGAAUUCUAUCCACUAAGACAUUUUUGCUUUGUGAAAGCAAAUUCCAUGUACAGAGCAAGAACUUUUUGCAGAUACUGGUGCAGAUUUCUUAAAAUAUAUGUAAUAGAUGCAUUCUAGGAACUUGCCUAUUAAGCUUCUAUCUUCAUAUGGAAUUGUUUAUCUAUUAUAGCCAUUUUAAAAUAUUAACCCUUAUAAGAUGAAAAUCUGCACAUUCUGAAAAUCUACGUAUUUAAAUAGAAAAUUAGCUAAAUUCCUGUUGAGAGUUUAAAUCCAUUCUUUGAUUUUCUUUAACAGUAUCUAUUGGGAUAGUGCGUUACCAUUUUUAAGACCCUUUACCUUAAUAUUUCUGUGAUCUUCACAAUAAUCCUUUGAGGGUGGUAGGGCCCAUGACUGGCCCCUUCAUACUGAUGAAGUCAUUUGGGAUCAUGUAAACUGACUUACUC